Molecule: long non-coding RNA, 4616 nt
Organism: Oncorhynchus tshawytscha (Chinook salmon)
Lineage: Eukaryota; Metazoa; Chordata; Actinopteri; Salmoniformes; Salmonidae
Source: Ensembl
GGGUGCAAUAAUUGAAUAAUAUAGAUUUCUAAAUGUAUUUUGCAACGCGAGCGGUGUAGUUAGCCUGUUAUUCUAAAAUGUAUACAAUUAAUUUUUAUCCUCAUCAAUCUACACACAACACCCCAUAACGACAAAGAGAAAACAAAUUUUUAGAAAUAAAAAACAGAAAUACCUUAUUUACAUAAGUAUUCAGACCCUUUGCUAUGAGAUCAGCUGCAUCCUGUUUCCAUUGAUCAUCCUUGAGAUGUCUCUACAACUUGAUUGGAGUCCAGCUGUGAUAAAUUCAAUUGAUUGGACAUGAUUUGGAAAGGCACACACCUGUCUAUAUAAGGUCCUAUAGUUGACAGUGCAUGUCAGAGCAAAAACCAAAACAUGAGGUUGAAGGAAUUGUCCGUAGAGCUCCGAGACAGGAUGGUGUCGAGGCACAGAUCUGGGGAAGGGUACCAAAACAUGUCUGCAGCAAACCAGUAAAUCAAGCCAGUCAACCAAGCCAGUCAACGUCAAUCACUCCAGUCAAUCACUCCAGUCAAUCACUCCAGUCAAUCACUCCAGUCAAUCACUCUAGUCAAUCACUCCAGUCAAUCACUCCAGUCAAUCACUCCAGUUAAUCACUCUAGUCAAUCACUCCAGUUAAUCACUCCAGUUAAUCAAGCCAGUCAAUUCUAGGGUUACAAUUAUCAAGGUACUGUCAAGUUAUAGGGGGGUUAAAAGAUUUGGAGCUUUGUAAUUUGAACGAUUGAGAUCCGACAACCCGAUCAAACAAAAAAACAUUAUAAAAAUGAGACAAAGAUCAUGAUAGUCAGUAUUUCAAAUAAAAAGACAAACUAAAUCUCUUCUUUUUUUUUCCAGAACCAAAUACUGUAUUACAAUAUACAUUUAAUUUUUACACACACAUAUCAGAAUGAUAUUACUAUUGGUUCACACCCAAUGCAUUGUUAGUGUGAUAUAAUGUCCAUUGUCCAUAGGAGGCCAGAUCACUAUCAGAAUGUUCUGUCCCCAUCUCUAUCUGGGUAAAAAAAAAAAGGAAAAAAAAAGUGCUCAUUGUAAAAUCCUCACAUUGUCUAAGUUAAUAAGUCCCAAAUUGCACCCUAUUCCCUACAUAGUGCACUACUUUUGACCAGCGGGCCCAUUGGGAAUAGGGUACCAUUUUAGACACUUGGCACCCUAUUCCCUACAUAGUGCACUACUUUUGACCAGGGCCUGUAGGGAAUAGGGUACCAUUUCAGACACUUGGCACCCUAUUCCCUAUAUAGUGCACUACUUUUGACCAGGGCCUGUAGGGAAUAGGGUGUCACAGGGGCUGCUAUUAGAGACAGUCAUCUCACUCUCUGUAUGAUACCAAAGCCAUACAUACAGAACCCAAUCAAACAAAUGACGGUUAUCUUUCGUGAAUCUAAAACUCCUUUCUCUAUCGUCCAUGGCUGACUGACUGUUGGUGAUCACCUCCAUAUUGAUCUCCCGUAGCAUUGAUCUCCCGCAGCGUUGAUCUCCCGCAGCGUUGACCUCCCGCAGCGUUGACCUCCCGUAGUGUUGACCUCCCGUAGCGUUGACCUCCCGUAUCGUUGACCUCCCGUAGUGUUGACCUCCCGUAUCGUUGACCUUCCGUAGCGUUGACCUCCCGUAGCGUUAAUCUCUCAUAGCGUUGACCUCCCAUAGCGUUAAUCUCUCAUAGCGUUAAUCUCCCAUAGCGUUGAUCUCCCAUAGCGUUGAUCUCUCAUAGCGUUAAUCUCUCAUAGCGUUAAUCUCUCAUAGCGUUAAUCUCUCAUAGCGUUGACCUCCCAUAGCGUUAAUCUCUCAUAGCGUUAAUCUCUCAUAGCGUUAAUCUCUCAUAGCGUUAAUCUCUCAUAGCGUUGAUCUCUCAUAGCGUUAAUCUCUCAUAGCGUUAAUCUCUCAUAGCGUUAAUCUCUCAUAGCGUUAAUCUCUCAUAGCGUUGAUCUCCCACAGCGUUGAUCUCCCACAGCGUUGAUCUCUCAUAGCGUUGAUCUCUCAUAGCGUUGAUCUCUCAUAGCGUUAAUCUCCCACAGAUUUGAGAAGUUUUCCGUGAGAACCAGGCCACACUGCAUCGGUUCCUUCCUUCCGAUGUGUAGAAUUUAAAAACAGGAGCCUAUCUAUCUAUCUAUCUAUCUAUCUAUCUAUCUAUCUAUCUAUAUAUAUAUAUAUAUAUAUAUAUAUAUCUAUGUAGUAGUGAUAUGGGAGAGCAGAUGGUCCCAGUCCUGUCUGUGUGAGGAGUUAGAGGAGUAGGAUACAGUUUCCCCUAAAUGCUCAUCUUGGGUCAGCCCCCCACUUCCGGUUAACCCUUUACACUCCUGGGAAUUGGCCUACAUGGAUAGGGCUGAAUUAAAAUGUUUCUUACAGACGAAAUAUGACAAGCAUAUGCAUAACCAUGGUAGCAAUUGAAAGGGAACAGUUUGGAGAUCAUGGGAAAAUUAUUAGACCAAAGGUGAGGACACAACAGUUCACCUGACACAAGACUGAAUUCAAACAUUACACUGUUGAUUUUAUGUUCAUUUUACAUAUACUGUACUUUUCACAUUAUUGGUUGAUAACGAAAUCUGAAAUACUCUGGAUAUAUUCAGUAACAUGUUAAGAAUAUUGCUGGAAAAUGGGGUUUAAAGGGGUUGAAUGAGAGGUCUGACUGGUGUCUCCAAGUGGCCACAUACCUCUCCAAACUGUGGGGUUUGAGUGAGAGGUCUGACUGGCGUCUCCAAGUGGCCACACCUCUCCAAACUGUGCAUAGUUCCUAAGUAAUUUCAAUGCACCUUUCUGACUUAAAGAAGUCUUCAGCUAUAAGGUGCUUUUUUGAGCUCUCCUAGCUGGACCGUUGAGGAACUAGAGGAAGCACACUUGUAGUUGUUUUCUUUGGAACACAGCCCUUCCUCCUCGUCAUCACACAUUUACUGCUGUUGUUUAGGCAAACUAAACACUGUCAUUAUAAAUAGCAAUCUGGGUCAGGUGGGCAUCAUUUAAAAGCCUGUUCUGUUGCCAACAUGACUAGCUAAGAUAUAAAAUAUGACAUUACAGUGUUAGGCUUUCACAAGGCAAUUCAGAGAAACAGACCAUGAUGUUGGCGUGCAGAGAAAGGAGUGAUGACCGUAUUCACGUGUGUGUGCAGAGGCUAACAUAGUCUCAUUCUGUUCAGAACAACCCAGGGUAUGACGACAAGUCAUCUGGUAACUACAUCAAACAUAGUCUCAUUCUGUUCAGAACAACCCAGGGUAUGACGACAAGUCAUCUGGUAACUGUACAUCAAACAUAGUCUCAUUCUGUUCAGAACAACCCAGGGUAUGACGACAGUCAUCUGGUAACUACAUCUAACAUAGUCUCAUUCUGUUCAGAACAACCCAGGGUAUGACGACAAGUCAUCUGGUAACUGUACAUCAAACAUAGUCUCAUUCUGUUCAGAACAACCCAGGGUAUGACGACAAGUCAUCUGGUAACUGUACAUCAAACAUAGUCUCAUUCUGUUCAGAACAACCCAGGGUAUGACGACAAGUCAUCUGGUAACUACAUCAACCAUAGUCUCAUUCUGUUCAGAACAACCCAGGGUAUGACGAUAAGUCAUCUGGUAACUGUACUCACAGGCGAUGCAUGACAUCAAAGCGAUAUUUAUUAUAAUCCUCAACAUAAUGCAUAUUGUCCUCUUAAUUGACAGCAUUUUCACUCAGACAACAAAACAUUUGCAAAAGUUACGAGGAGGGAUGGGUUGCAGCUUUACGUUGCGUGAGGUUCUCAAGUUCAGAAUGUCUGUCAGUCAAAACUCAUACAUCGCUGUGAUGAGCAUUACGUUCCAAUUUAGGUAUUUAUUGGUGCCCAAAUCUGCCAUUUUCAACCCGGAUGGAUACGAGUACGAGUGUAAAGGGUUAAGGUUAGGAUUGGGGGAGGGGAAGCUGAUCCUAGAUCUGUACCUAGGGAGCUUAGUCCUGUGCGAUGUUGAAUGUCUGGGGUUAGAGGUUAGAGAUCGGGGUUUAAAGGUCAGGGGUCAGUCCACUUGCAUGUUACGUAGCAGCAGUCCUUUCUUCACCCCUCCCUGCAGCAUCCUGGCACCUAGACUACUGCCAGCCGUACCAUCACUACAGAAAGAUAAGGAGAGAGGGAUGACGUGAGAGAGAUGGAUGGAGGGAGAGAGAGGGAUGGAAAGAGAGAGGGAUGGAAAGAGAGGGAUGGAAAGAGAGAGGGAUGGAGCGAGAGAGAUGGAUGAGGGAGAGAGAGGGAUGGAAAGAGAGAGGGAGGGAGAUAGAGGAGAGAGAGAGAAGGAGAUGGAAAGAGAGGAUGGAAGAGAGGGAUGGAAAGAGAGAGGGAUGGAAAGAGAGAGAUGGAUGGAGGGAGAGAGAGGGAGGGAAAGAGAGAGGGGGAGAGAGAGGCGAUGGAGAGAGAGGGAGGGAGAUAGAGGAGAGAGAGAGAGAGGAGAGAGAGAGGAGAGAUGGAUGGAGGGAGAGAGGAGGAUGGAAAGAGAGAGGGGGAGAGAGAGGCAAUGGAGAGAGGGAGGGAGAUAGAGCGAGAAGAGGGGUGAAGGGGAGAAAAGAGGAAGAGGGAAAUUAGGGAGAAGAGAGAGGGAGAGAAUGUGUUAGGUGUGGAAGUUUGUCUAUGUGUUGGAUGUGCGUGCGUGUGCGUAUGUG